RNAcentral lists this transfer RNA (67 nucleotides) under Marmota monax (woodchuck). RNAcentral's name for it is "tRNA.Ala". Lineage: Eukaryota; Metazoa; Chordata; Mammalia; Rodentia; Sciuridae. The record is from RNAcentral.
GGUUGUGGCUCAGUGGUAAAGCACGUGCCUUGCACGUGUGAGGUACUGGGUUUGAGCCUCAGCACCA